This 497-nucleotide ribosomal RNA is filed under the name uncultured bacterium. Its description in RNAcentral is "partial 16S ribosomal RNA". It matches the Rfam family "Bacterial small subunit ribosomal RNA", at positions 28 to 507 of the family's 1533-position model. The record is from RNAcentral.
GACGAACGCUGGCGGCGUGCCUAAUACAUGCAAGUUGAGCGCUGAAGGUUGGUACUUGUCCCGACUGGAUGAGCAGCGAACGGGUGAGUAACGCGUGGGGAAUCUGCCUUUGAGCGGGGGACAACAUUUGGAAACGAAUGCUAAUACCGCAUAAAAACUUUAAACACAAGUUUUAAGUUUGAAAGAUGCAAUUGCAUCACUCAAAGAUGAUCCCGCGUUGUAUUAGCUAGUUGGUGAGGUAAAGGCUCACCAAGGCGAUGAUACAUAGCCGACCUGAGAGGGUGAUCGGCCACAUUGGGACUGAGAAACGGCCCAAACUCCUACGGGAGGCAGCAGUAGGGAAUCUUCGGAAAUGGACGAAAGUCUGACCGAGCAACGCCGCGUGAGUGAAGAAGGUUUUCGGAUCGUAAAACUCUGUUGGUAGAGAAGAACGUUGGUGAGAGUGGAAAGCUCAUCAAGUGACGGUAACUACACAGAAAGGGACGGCUAACUACGUG